This 267-nucleotide ribosomal RNA is filed under the name uncultured bacterium. RNAcentral's name for it is "partial 16S ribosomal RNA". It matches the Rfam family "Bacterial small subunit ribosomal RNA", at positions 793 to 1055 of the family's 1533-position model. The record is from RNAcentral.
GUCCACGCCGUAAACUAUGGGUGCUAGCCGUUGGGAAGCUUGCUUUUCAGUGGCGCAGCUAACGCAUUAAGCACCCCGCCUGGGGAGUACGGUCGCAAGAUUAAAACUCAAAGGAAUUGACGGGGGCCCCGCACAAGCGGUGGAGCAUGUGGUUUAAUUCGAAGCAACGCGCAGAACCUUACCUACCCUUGACAUGUCUAGUAUGGGUUCCAGAGAUGGGAUUCUUCAGUUCGGCUGGCUAGAACACAGGUGCUGCAUGGCUGUCGU